This 253-nucleotide ribosomal RNA is filed under the name uncultured bacterium. RNAcentral's name for it is "partial 16S ribosomal RNA". It matches the Rfam family "Bacterial small subunit ribosomal RNA", at positions 524 to 776 of the family's 1533-position model. The record is from RNAcentral.
GACAGAGGGGGCAAGCGUUGCUCGGAAUCACUGGGCGUAAAGGGCGCGUAGGCGGGAUGGCAAGUCGGUCGUGAAAUCCUUCGGCUCAACCGAAGAACGUCGGCCGAUACUGCCGUUCUUGAGGGAUGCAGAGGAGAUUGGAAUUCCCGGUGUAGCGGUGAAAUGUGUAGAGAUGGGGGAGAACACUCGUGGCGAAGGCGGCCAGCUAGACCAGUUCUGACACUGAGGCGCGACAGCGUGGGGAGCAAACAGG